ACGCUCGACACCUACGGGAGCAGCAGUGGGGAAUAUUGCACAAUGGGGGAAACCCUGAUGCAGCGACGCCGCGUGAGUGAAGAAGUAAUUCGUUAUGUAAAGCUCUAUCAGCAGGGAAGAAAGUGACGGUACCUGAGUAAGAAGCCCCGGCUAACUACGUGCAGCAGCCGCGGUAAUCUGAGCGGGCUGGCAAGGC
RNAcentral lists this ribosomal RNA (196 nucleotides) under uncultured bacterium. Its description in RNAcentral is "partial 16S ribosomal RNA". It matches the Rfam family "Bacterial small subunit ribosomal RNA", at positions 328 to 539 of the family's 1533-position model. The record is from RNAcentral.